UCUCUCUCUCUCCCUCUCCCUCUCUGUGUUCUUUUUAAUUCCAUCUCAAUUUGUGAAUGGGAACAUGAAAUCCAAAUUCCAAAUGGAUUUGAAAUUUUAUAGAUUUUGAUUAGAGUGGAAGUCAAGGACUUUAAUCAAAGAUUUGUUAUGUGGUUAUCAUGAUGCUGAUGAUGCUGAUGAUGCUCUGGAUUAAAAUCCCAGUAUAGUUUGCUCUGUCGGAGUCUCUCUCUGUCGGAAUUUAAGUGGUUUUGUAGUGUAUAUAUGUAUGUAUACUGCGUUUUGAUUCUAGGUUCACUUUGUCAGAAUGGAUCGAUUCGAGUUUUGACUUUUUGGUAGAAACUCAAGAAGCUGUGAUUAACAAUGUUGCCAAUUUAUGUGAGGCUGCUGAAGCAUUGUGCAAUUUUCUGGAAGAGCUGGCAAAGCAGUUUCUAUUGAAUCUUCCAGUUUGGGAUUCGUCACCUCGUGAGCUCAUAAACUCUCUGUGUGAUGAAUGAUCAGGUACUUUGGAAGAAUAGAGAUUGUACACUCAGGUUGGUUUGAUCUAACUAUUUGCAUGUUCACUGAAUGAGGCCUCCUUUGUGGUUCUCUAAAUUACUUGUCCAAAACAAGUUGCGGAUUUUAAAUGCUCAGUAUCCAGAUAAAUAUAUGUGCUGGUCGCGAAAGAGUCGUCCAGUUUGUACAGUCUAAGCUUAUAGAGAGUAAUGAGGUUGUAUUGUUUUGGUAGGAUAUUAUGGGGCUUAGAACUUUAUGACAUAUUAAAAUUAUGUAAUAAACUGGAUACUCAGACUUUCAAAACUUUCAUUGCUUUUUAGAGGAUAUAUGGGAUGUUUGCUAGCUCUCUUUCAUCUAACAUUUAGGAUCUUCAGUUCUGCAUCACUGGCAAUGAUGCCAUCUGCAGAGGAGAUCUGGCUCUGACUUUCUUAUAUAAUCAUGUAUUUACUACUUACUCAAUUUGCAUGUGUAUGGCUGUCACAAGACCCUAGCAGAACUAACUUAUAUUUGCGGUCGAAGCUCUUGGUGAUGCUAUAUGUCAAGCAGUGGGUCUUGGUUUGAUCAAGUCUCGCAAUGAAGUGUUAUCACCUCUAAGGUAUGGUGCACGUUCUUUAGUAUCAUGUUCAUAUGAUUAACACUUUGUAUUCUUCUAGAAUAUUAAAGAACAAGACACAGUAUAUAAGGCCUGUUAACUACCUUUAAACAUUUUGAUUAAUGUAUUCACCUCUAGAGCUCUGUUAAUGUAAAUUGAUUUGUUACCUUUCGCUCGUACCAUUAUAAUUUGGGAUAAGGAAAUAAAAUGGCACAGUUAUUAUGUCUGUGAACGAUGUAAUGUCAGGAAAACUGAUUGUGCUACAAGUCUGGUUGAUUUUAUAUUUCAUGUUUUGUGCUCUCCCUCAAUGUGUGUCUGUUAGUCAGUAUCUUAGAUCUAAUUUGGCUUCCAAUUAUAAGAUUCUACUAUGGAAAAUCGACUCUAACAUUUUCUUUUUGCUCUCUGAUGAGUUUGGUGGGGUGUAAUUAUUUAAACAACAAUAAUAUUUCAGAAAAUUUGCAUGUUUUUGGCUUAAGACUGAGC
Molecule: long non-coding RNA, 1567 nt
Organism: Daucus carota subsp. sativus
Lineage: Eukaryota; Viridiplantae; Streptophyta; Magnoliopsida; Apiales; Apiaceae
Exons: 3
Source: RefSeq, a predicted model, not a curated record